UCCGUUGGUGAACCAGCGGAGGGAUCAUUACAGAGUUGCAAAACUCCCUAAACCAUUGUGAACGUUACCUAAACCGUUGCUUCGGUGGGCGGCCCCGGGGUUCUCCCCGGGCGCCCCUGGGCCCCACCGCGGGCGCCCGCCGGAGGUCACCAAACUCUUGAUAAUUCAUGGCCUCUCUGAGUCUUCUGUACUGAAUAAGUCAAAACUUUCAACAACGGAUCUCUUGGUUCUGGCAUCGAUGAAGAACGCAGCGAAAUGCGAUAAGUAAUGUGAAUUGCAGAAUUCAGUGAAUCAUCGAAUCUUUGAACGCACAUUGCGCCCGCCAGUAUUCUGGCGGGCAUGCCAGUUCGAGCGUCAUUUCAACCAUCAAGCCCCCGGCUUGUGUUGGGGACCUGCGGCUGCCGCAGGCCCUGAAAAGCAGUGGCGGGCUCGCUGUCACACCGAGCGUAGUAGCAUACAUCUCGCUCCGGGCGUGCUGCGGGUUCCGGCCGUUAAACCGCCUUCGUAAGGUUGACCUCGGAUCAGGUAGGAAGACCCGCUGAACUUAAGCAUAUCAAUAAGCGGAGGA
Molecule: ribosomal RNA, 568 nt
Filed under: uncultured fungus
Lineage: Eukaryota; Fungi
Description: eukaryotic LSU rRNA
Rfam family: 5.8S ribosomal RNA (bases 204-357)
Source: RNAcentral